AUGAGAUGGAGGGUUGGAUGGGAUUUUGGGAAGUUGUUGGAGAGUUUGUUAUAUUCUGUUAUGACCUCCUUGCCUUCGAUUGAUCUCUUAUUUUUAGGGUUUUUGGUUAUUGAUGAAUGCAGGUACGUGACACUUGGUGUAAUUGUAGGUGUGCAAACCACCUAUAAAGGAAGUAUCUUACAUUGCGGAAGUGAUGAAGACAUCUUGGAGUAA
Non-coding RNA from Vicia faba (fava bean), 213 nucleotides. NCBI's taxonomy places the organism in Eukaryota, Viridiplantae, Streptophyta, Magnoliopsida, Fabales, Fabaceae. The record is from the annotation of a GenBank genome assembly.